Molecule: long non-coding RNA, 2033 nt
Organism: Hipposideros armiger (great roundleaf bat)
Lineage: Eukaryota; Metazoa; Chordata; Mammalia; Chiroptera; Hipposideridae
Exons: 3
Source: RefSeq, a predicted model, not a curated record
UCCAGCCUCUCCUUUUGGGUAUGAGACAAGGCAUGACCUGGGGGAGGCCUGGGUGGCCAUGAGCUCAGCUACCAGCACCUGUGACAUUUCCCUCAGGCUCCAAAGUGAAAGCACUGUAAUUGCAUGGGUCAUGUAACAGUGAAGGUCAACCCAGCACACUUUAUCUGAUCACUGGAGUGAAAAGCCAAGCAAAAUUCUCAUCAGCCUUUCCCUGAGAUUCUGGGCUCAGGGUCAGGAUUUGGGUCUCCUUAAUGAUAGGUUGGUUCAUCUGGUUGGGCACUAGUGCCACAGUCCAAAUGAGUGCCAUUUUGUUUCUUGGUGGGUAAAACGAAUGAGAUGGGAAAGACUUGGACCACACUGAGAAUCAAAAGCACGAUAAACACAGUUCCAUGGGAAAGGCUUAACAUUGUUCAGUGAGAUCUGUUAUCCAGUUAUAAAAGGAUCCGUCCCCUGUAUUUUCUAAUUGGAGACACUCCCUGGGAGGGGAAGGACCAUGUUAUGUAUUAGCUGAAGCCAUAUCAGUGAAAUAGUAUUUGUUCUGGAAAUUCUAGGAGGGAAUGUUUCAGUCUGUGAACUACCCAGGACCCCAAAUUCACAGUUUGCCAGGAUAAGAGGGAGUCCUAAGGACCACCUGCUUCAAUUCUCACAUUCUAAAUAAGAAGAAAACAAGGCUUAGAGACAUAUUUCCCAAAUGCCUCAAGCUAGUUAGUGGAAGUGAAGGAAAAGCCUAUUAUAAUUCCCUCUAAAAUGUUGUUUGUGCUCCAUAUUCUCUCCUUUUCAUUUGUCCUAAGCUUUUGCAUUUUCCUGCAGGUUAGCAUUUUAGCCAGAAUUGUGCCAGAGGUUACUGUAGCUCCCUGCUCCUGUUAUCACUUUAAACUUUGCAUUUCAGAAUGUUGAAGAAAGUGCUCUCUGCCUGGAUUUUCAUAGGUCCUUCGCUGUUGGUUGCUGUUUUAGAUAACAUAUCCAGGCUGUUGAACCAUCAUUCUUGAAGAAUGUGGGACUGAUGCUCCUGGGUAGCUUCAGAAAUACCAUGAAGUCACCUACAGAAAGCUGCCUCCAUGCUAAGAGCUCCAGGAAUUAACUCUGCUGUUCAUUUGCUCAAGUGGGGCCUCUGCCCCCACUCCCUGCCCAGGGCUCCAUCAGAGUAGCUGCAUGCAUGCAAUGAAGGCAAAGCCUGUUAUGGAAGCCACGGCUGUCUUCGCACAGAGCACUUACCUUUAGCUUCUGAAUCCUGGACCAUGGGCCCUGAAUGUGCUGCUCCUUCUUCGGCAGGCGGAUUCCUGUCUCAACUCAAUCAACUGAAGUCUGAUCCUACAGGAGAGAUUCAGUUGUUUCCUGUUAUUAUCUUUUCCAAGUAUUGUUUUGCAACUUGAAAAAGAGCCAUUUUCCAAUUUGAUAAGCAAAAGUGUUAUGCUGGACCAUUCAACAAGAUCUUGACAUGACCCACCUAGGGAGGUGAGGCCCCACUCCCAACAGGUGCCCCCUUUGAAGACUUACUGAUAUAGAUUCCCUCUAACAGAAAGAACUUGUCAAAUAUUACUUUCUUUGUUCACAUUAUUAGAGCAAUUACCUUUUAUUGCUUCCUAAAUUAUGAAAUUGUAUUAUGAUAUGAAAUACAUUUUUUCAAAGUACAUAUCACUUCCUUCUUGAAAUGCUGAUAUAUACCCCUAAGAACUUUCUUUUCCUCUGUUAGAAAACCAAUGUUAUAAAAUGUUAGAAGAACCAAAUGGAAGGGCGGAAGCCACACAAAGAACAACUUUGUGGGACCCAGAGAGAAACAGAAGAGUCCCUUUACAAAACUACCUUUACUGAUGCUUUCCAGGCCGAAUAAUAUUCUCAGAAAUGGGUAUGUGUUCUGUCUCAACAUAUACACCAUACCCAUCACUUUUUAAAACAGCAUAGCUCUAUGUGUUAUGCUGUAUACAGUUGACCCUUGAACACAAGUUUGAAUUGAGUGGGUCCAUUUAUAUGCAGAUUUUUUCAAUAAAUACUGUAAAUGUCUCUUCCUUAUGACUAUCUUAAUAACAUUUUUU